Molecule: ribosomal RNA, 503 nt
Filed under: uncultured bacterium
Lineage: Bacteria
Description: bacterial SSU rRNA
Rfam family: Bacterial small subunit ribosomal RNA
Source: RNAcentral
GAUGAACGCUGGCGGCAUGCCUAAUACAUGCAAGUCGAACGAGAGGAAGGAAAGCUUGUUUUUCUGAAUCUAGUGGCGAACGGGUGAGUAACACGUAGGUAACCUGCCCAUGUGCCCGGGAUAACUUCUGGAAACGGAUGCUAAAACCGGAUAGGUAGCAGACAAGCAUUUGACUGCUAUUAAAAGUGGCUAAGGCCAUGAACAUGGAUGGACCUGCGGUGCAUUAGCUAGUUGGUGAGGUAACGGCCCACCAAGGCGACGAUGCAUAGCCGGCCUGAGAGGGCGGACGGCCACAUUGGGACUGAGACACGGCCCAAACUCCUACGGGAGGCAGCAGUAGGGAAUUUUCGUCAAUGGGGGGAACCCUGAACGAGCAAUGCCGCGUGAGUGAGGAAGGUCUUCGGAUCGUAAAGCUCUGUUGUAAGAGAAAAACGACAUUCAUAGGGAAUGAUGAGUGAGUGAUGGUAUCUUACCAGAAAGUCACGGCUAACUACGUGCCAGCA